Molecule: long non-coding RNA, 1323 nt
Filed under: Sorghum bicolor (sorghum)
Lineage: Eukaryota; Viridiplantae; Streptophyta; Magnoliopsida; Poales; Poaceae
Description: long non-coding RNA (SBIC_LNC000169)
Source: RNAcentral
GGCAGGCGAAGAAUACAUUUAUAACCAAAACAUUUAGAUCAUCUUCACCUGAUCUCACAUAUAGUCAUAUUGCAUCUCCUAAGGGAGUAUCAUAAAAUAAAGUUAGGAUAUAGGAGAGUACUAUUAGAACAAAUUACUUAAAACUUGUCUCACAUAUUUUGUUUGGGAUGGAGAAGAGGGGGUUGUCUCCUUUAUUUAGAAAAAAUGAUUCUUCUUUUAGGAGAUCUCUUAAAAAAUAUAGGUGGAUAGGAGAUAAGAGAUUUGCGAAUUAAGUGUAGCUUAGCUGGUUAAGUUUCUUAUAGCCUCAACUUGAUAUGGGUGUGCGCUCACAUUUUUCUAGAUUCAUUCCAGGAUUUAACCCAUCAACAACAAGACACCUGGUCUUUAUUAUCCCCUAAAAAUACUACUUUUUAUGUAUUAUUAGAUUGUAUAGGAUAUCUAAUGGAGAUGCUCUUGGCCCAUUUAGCAUAGCUCUAUACUCGAGGAUUUUUUUAUUUUAUUUUUUAUUUUUGCUUUCGGCUCCACGAGCUGAUUCUCCUUGUGAACUAAAAUUGUAUAAAUCCAGACCAUACGCAAAUAAUAUUAAGUCUACCUGGUGAACAUGUUUUACUGCAAAGAAUCCAACUAGCAGAGCUAUACUCAGUUUAAUUUAGUUGAUUGUUUGGUAGACCUUGCAAGAACUAUUAAGGAAUUGCAGCACGUUAUUGAGUUCUUAUAGAAAGUUAUUGGCUCUAAAACUAUGGUAACAUGGAUGUAUAUUUUUUAGUUUAAGCACACGUAGAACCAGAAAUGCUUUGUUUCAAAUGGAGGAGGUCAGGUUAAUCGCAUUUGAUUUAAUUAGUGGAAAAAAGUCUACAUAACCUUAGUUCCCCAAAAAUUUUGCAAAAUUUUUCAGAUUCUCCGUCACAUCGAAUCUUUAGACGUAUGCAUAGAGUAUUAAAUAUAGAUGAAAAUAAAAACUAAUUGCACAGUUUGGUCGGAAUUGACGAGAUGAAUCUUUUGAGCCUAGCUAGUCUAUGAUUGGACAAUAUUUGUCAGAUUCAAACGAAAGUGCUACAGUAUCGAUUUUCCAAAAUUUUUUGGAACUAAACAAGGCCUAGAGUGAACUACUUUACCCCCGAACUAUAAAACCGGAUAUUCUACUUCUGAACUUUGAAAACCUGUCAAAUAACCCCCUCGAUUAGUUUUGGAGGGUGGUUUUGUUUAUUUUAUUUAUUUAUUUUUGCUGAAUAUUUAAAAAAUCAUAAUAAGUUAUAGAAAAAUCAUAAAAUAAAAAAUUAAAUUUUGUUGGACUCCUGAUGAGAAGAUCUACAUAAUGAGUAU